Myotis davidii is the source of this 139-nucleotide non-coding RNA. Lineage: Eukaryota; Metazoa; Chordata; Mammalia; Chiroptera; Vespertilionidae. The record is from Rfam.
CCCCUUUUUAAAAGCACUCAUUGGGCCUUUUGCUAAUGGCCCACGGAGCCCUCAAGAGAAAGGGCAAAGUAAAAACACCGCUUUUGGGUGAAACAGCAGCAUGUUGUGUUGUUUUGCUUCAAUCGGUGGUGUGACAAGU